GGUAAAGUGCCUGAUUAAAGGAUUAUUUUGAUAGAAUAAAUUAAGUAAUUUUAUAUUACCUUUACCU
This 67-nucleotide transfer RNA is filed under the name Tachypleus tridentatus (Chinese horseshoe crab). Its description in RNAcentral is "tRNA-Ile". The record is from RNAcentral. Lineage: Eukaryota; Metazoa; Arthropoda; Merostomata; Xiphosura; Limulidae.